GACGAACGCUGGCGGCGCGCUUAACACAUGCAAGUCGAACGGAAAGGCCUGCUUUCCCUUGUGGAUUGCGGGUACUCGAGUGGCGAACGGGUGAGUAACACGUGAGUGAUCUGCCCCCAACUUGGGUAUAAGCCUGGGAAACUGGGUCUAAUUCCCGAUAGGACUGCAGGGUGGUGCCUGUGGUGGAAAACGAUUUUCUAGUGGUUGGGGAUGAGCUCGCGGCCUAUCAGCUUGUUGGUGGGGUAAUGGCCUACCAAGGCGGCGACGGGUAGCCGGCCUGAGAGGGUGGACGGACACAUUGGGACUGAGAUACGGCCCAGACUCCUACGGGAGGCAGCAGUGGGGAAUAUUGCACAAUGUGCGGAAGCCUGAUGCAGCGACGCCGCGUGGGGGAUGACGGCCUUCGGGUUGUAAACUCCUUUCGACCGCGAGGAAGCCACCUGGUUGGAAGGGUGGUGACGGUAGUGGUAGAAGAAGCACCGGCUAACUACGUG
RNAcentral lists this ribosomal RNA (494 nucleotides) under uncultured bacterium. RNAcentral describes it as "partial 16S ribosomal RNA". It matches the Rfam family "Bacterial small subunit ribosomal RNA", at positions 28 to 507 of the family's 1533-position model. The record is from RNAcentral.